GGUAUUUUGACUAUACAAAGGUAUUGAAAUAAGACUUUAAUUGAGUGCUAAGAGAAUGGAAUAACAAAAAAUUUCUAUCUUAAAAUUAAAAAUUAAAAUUAUUUUUUUUUGUGAAGAAACAAAAAUUUUAAUUAAGGACAAGAAGACCCUAAGAAUUUUAAAAAUUAUUAGAUUAGUUUUUAAUUUAUUAUUAGUUUUUUAAUUGGGGCGAUUAAUAAAUAUUUAAAACUUUAUUAUUAUAUAAUAUGAACCAUUAAUAAUGGUUAUUUGAUAAAAAUACUCUAGGGAUAACAGCGUAAUAAUUUUUGAUAGUUCAUAUAGACAAAAUAGUUUGCGACCUCGAUGUUGGAUUAGGAUUCUUUUUUAAUGAAGAAGUUAAAAAAAGAAGUUUGUUCAACUUUUAAAUUCCU
This 410-nucleotide ribosomal RNA is filed under the name Amblyomma naponense. RNAcentral's name for it is "partial 16S ribosomal RNA". The record is from RNAcentral. Lineage: Eukaryota; Metazoa; Arthropoda; Arachnida; Ixodida; Ixodidae.